UCAGGUGACUAUAGCAUCAGGGUUCCACCUCUUCCCAUUCCGAACAGAGAAGUUAAGCCUGAUCACGCCGAUGGUACUGCGUAACAGUGGGAGAGUAGGUAGUUGCCGUUU
This 111-nucleotide ribosomal RNA is filed under the name Bacteroides fragilis. RNAcentral also lists the same sequence under 2 other names. The record is from RNAcentral. Lineage: Bacteria; Pseudomonadati; Bacteroidota; Bacteroidia; Bacteroidales; Bacteroidaceae.